CACGAGCUUAAGUCGACUCCAGACUAGUACGAGUCGACUCCGACUGAAAACAGAAAGAAGAACAGAAAGCCUCAUCUCAGAACCUGUCAACGAGUCGACUCCUGAAGUGCGCGAGUCGACUCCAAUGUUCAACGAGUCGACUCCAGGGUAGUAAGAGUCGACUCCAAGAGGUACACAAAGAAAAGUCAGAGAGCAGUUUUCGAGUCUGAGAUUCGAGUCGACUCCAGUGGAGUCGACUCCGAUGGUUGGCAAGUCGACUCCAGAGAAAGCAAGAGUCGACUCUCAGCGGUACACAAAGAAAAGGUCAGAGAGCAUUUUAUGGACUCUGAGAUUCGAGUCGACUCCCGCAAUACGCGAGUCGACUCCGAGACUGUGCGACCAUCGACAGACAGAAAACCAUGUUACUGCCUCUGAGAUUCGAGUCGACUCCCAGACAGCUCGAGUCGACUCCAAGACAAGCUUCACGUCAAAAGGCAGAAGACCAACUUUCGGAAACUGAGAGCCGAGUCGACUCCAAGAAAGUUCGAGUCGACUCCAAGACUGGAUGAGCCAAAAGACAGAGAAUCGGAAGUUCGGGCUCUGAGAUUCGAGUCGACUCCAAGGACAGUCGAGUCGACUCGAGUGGACAAAAUUCAAAAUUGGAUCCACGGACUUCAGUGGAUGAGCCGACUCCAAAAUUGCCAGGUCAGCUCCAGAAGUUGGCGAGUCGACUCUGGGUCAAGACGAGUCGACUCCCAGUCGUGACGGCAACUUUAAUUCAAAUUUGGAAUAGUUGCCGAGUCGACUCCGGAAAAGCUUGAGUCGACUCCCGCUACAGUCGAGUCGACUCCUGAUCGCGCGAGUCGACUCCAACCCACCAACGGUCAUAUUGUCAGGCUGCGCAGAGUGUGCAGAACGGACAGAAAAAGCAGUGUAACAGCUAGUUUCCGUGGGGGUUGGCUUAAAUAGCCACAGAAGACUGUAGCAAGGCAGAGAACAACCAUUCCACUCCAAGCAUUCAAGCUUUCAAGCUCUGCAACGUGCUCUUCAACGAAAA
This 1036-nucleotide long non-coding RNA is filed under the name Phoenix dactylifera (date palm). RNAcentral's name for it is "long non-coding RNA (PDAC_LNC012293)". The record is from RNAcentral. Lineage: Eukaryota; Viridiplantae; Streptophyta; Magnoliopsida; Arecales; Arecaceae.